This 253-nucleotide ribosomal RNA is filed under the name uncultured bacterium. Its description in RNAcentral is "partial 16S ribosomal RNA". It matches the Rfam family "Bacterial small subunit ribosomal RNA", at positions 524 to 776 of the family's 1533-position model. The record is from RNAcentral.
UACGAAGGGUGCAAGCGUUACUCGGAAUUACUGGGCGUAAAGCGUGCGUAGGUGGCUUGUUAAGUCAGGGGUGAAAGUUUUCGGCUCAACCGGAAAAUUGCCUUUGAUACUGGCGAGCUUGAGUGCGUGAGGGGUAACCGGAACGAGCAGUGUAGCGGUGAGAUGCGUAGAUAUUGCUCGGAAGGCCAACGGCGAAGGCAGGUUACUGGUACGCAACUGACACUGAGGCACGAAAGCGUGGGGAGCAAACAGG